UGGCGGACGGGUGAGUAACGCGUGGGCAACCUGCCUUACACAGGGGGAUAACACUUAGAAAUAGGUGCUAAAACCGCAUAAGCGCACAGCUUCGCAUGAAGCGGUGUGAAAAACUCCGGUGGUGUAAGAUGGACCCGCGUCUGAUUAGCUUGUUGGCGGGGUAACGCCCACCAAGGCGACGAUCAGUAGCCGGCCUGAGAGGGCGGACGGCCACAUUGGGACUGAGACACGGCCCAGACUCCUACGGGAGGCAGCAG
RNAcentral lists this ribosomal RNA (257 nucleotides) under uncultured bacterium. Its description in RNAcentral is "partial 16S ribosomal RNA". It matches the Rfam family "Bacterial small subunit ribosomal RNA", at positions 96 to 354 of the family's 1533-position model. The record is from RNAcentral.